CCUACGGGUGGCUGCAGUGAGGAAUAUUGGUCAAUGGACGCAAGCCUGAACCAGCCAUGUCGCGUGAAGGAUGACUGCCCUAUGAGUUGUAAACUGCUUUUGUACGAGGGUAAAGUCAGGUACGUGUACCUGUCUGAAAGUAUCUUACGAAUAAGGAUCGGCUAACUCCGUGCCAGCAGCCGCGGUAAUACGGAGGAUCCAAGCGUUAUCCGGAUUUAUUGGGUUUAAAGGGUGCGUAGGCGGGCGGAUAAGUCAGUUGUGAAAGCCUGAGGCUCAACCUUAGAAUUGCCUGUGAUACUGGUCGGCUAGAGAAUAGUUGCGGUAGGCGGAAUGCAUGGUGUAGCGGUGAAAUGCUUAGAGAUCAUACAGAACACCGAUUGCGAAGGCAGCUUACCAAGCUGCUACUGACGUUGAUGCACGAAAGCGUGGGGAUCAAACAGGAUUAGAUACCCGUGUAGUC
This 460-nucleotide ribosomal RNA is filed under the name uncultured bacterium. Its description in RNAcentral is "partial 16S ribosomal RNA". It matches the Rfam family "Bacterial small subunit ribosomal RNA", at positions 338 to 795 of the family's 1533-position model. The record is from RNAcentral.